This 253-nucleotide ribosomal RNA is filed under the name uncultured Oscillospira sp. RNAcentral's name for it is "partial 16S ribosomal RNA". It matches the Rfam family "Bacterial small subunit ribosomal RNA", at positions 524 to 776 of the family's 1533-position model. Lineage: Bacteria; Bacillati; Bacillota; Clostridia; Eubacteriales; Oscillospiraceae. The record is from RNAcentral.
UACGUAGGGGGCAAGCGUUAUCCGGAUUUACUGGGUGUAAAGGGAGCGUAGACGGCAGCGCAAGUCUGGAGUGAAAUCCUAUGGCUUAACCAUAGAACUGCAUUUGAAACUGCUUCCCUUGAGUAUCGGAGAGGUCAUCGGAAUUCCUAGUGUAGCGGUGAAAUGCGUAGAUAUUAGGAAGAACACCAGUGGCGAAGGCGGAUGACUGGACGACAACUGACGGUGAGGCGCGAAAGCGUGGGGAGCAAACAGG